UGGGGAAUAUUGCACAAUGGGCGCAAGCCUGAUGCAGCCAUGCCGCGUGUGUGAAGAAGGCCUUCGGGUUGUAAAGCACUUUCAGCGAGGAGGAAGGUGGUGAGCUUAAUACGCUCAUCAAUUGACGUUACUCGCAGAAGAAGCACCGGCUAACUCCGUGCCAGCAGCCGCGGUAAUACGGAGGGUGCAAGCGUUAAUCGGAAUUACUGGGCGUAAAGCGCACGCAGGCGGUUUGUUAAGUCAGAUGUGAAAUCCCCGGGCUCAACCUGGGAACUGCAUUUGAAACUGGCAAGCUAGAGUCUCGUAGAGGGGGGUAGAAUUCCAGGUGUAGCGGUGAAAUGCGUAGAGAUCUGGAGGAAUACCGGUGGCGAAGGCGGCCCCCUGGACGAAGACUGACGCUCAGGUGCGAAAGCGUGGGGCAGCAAACAGGAUUAGAUACCCUGGUAGUCCAGCGCUGUAAACGAUGUCGAUUUGGAGGUUGUGCCCUUGAGGCGUGGCUUCCGGAGCUAACGCGUUAAAUCGACCGCCUGGGGAGUACGGCCGCAAGGUUAAAACUCAAAGGAAUUGAC
Molecule: ribosomal RNA, 569 nt
Filed under: uncultured bacterium
Lineage: Bacteria
Description: partial 16S ribosomal RNA
Rfam family: Bacterial small subunit ribosomal RNA
Source: RNAcentral